UGGGGAAUAUUGGGCAAUGGGCGAAAGCCUGACCCAGCAACGCCGCGUGAAGGAUGAAGUCUCUCGGGAUGUAAACUUCGUAAGAAUAGGAAGAAUAAAUGACGGUACUAUUUGUAAGGUCCGGCUAACUACGUGCCAGCAGCCGCGGUAAUACGUAGGGACCAAGCGUUGUUCGGAUUUACUGGGCGUAAAGGGCGCGUAGGCGGCGUGGUAAGUCACUUGUGAAAUCUCCGAGCUUAACUCGGAACGGUCAAGUGAUACUGCUGUGCUAGAGUACAGAAGGGGCAAUCGGAAUUCUUGGUGUAGCGGUGAAAUGCGUAGAUAUCAAGAGGAACACCUGAGGUGAAGACGGGUUGCUGGGCUGAUACUGACGCUGAGGCGCGAAAGCUAGGGUAGCAAACGGGAUUAGAUACCCCCGUAGUCCCUGAGCGGGCUGGCAAGGCGCAU
This 447-nucleotide ribosomal RNA is filed under the name uncultured bacterium. Its description in RNAcentral is "bacterial SSU rRNA". It matches the Rfam family "Bacterial small subunit ribosomal RNA", at positions 355 to 825 of the family's 1533-position model. The record is from RNAcentral.